AUGCAAGUCGAACGGAAGUCGUUAUGAUGAUUUCAACACUGACAGAGAACUUGUUCAAAGAAAGUAGAGAUUGACUUAUAACAAUGGCUUUAGUGGCGGACUGGUGAGUAACACGUGAGCAACCUGCCUAUCAGAGGGGAAUAACAGUGAGAAAUCAUUGCUAAUACCGCAUAUGCCAUAAAUAUCACAUGAUAAAAGUGGGAAAGGAGUAAUCCGCUGAUAGAUGGGCUCGCGUCUGAUUAGAUAGUUGGUGGGGUAACGGCCUACCAAGUCGACGAUCAGUAGCCGGACUGAGAGGUUGAACGGCCACAUUGGGACUGAGAUACGGCCCAGACUCCUACGGGAGGCAGCAGUCGGGAAUAUUGCGCAAUGGAGGAAACUCUGACGCAGUGACGCCGCGUAUAGGAAGAAGGUUUUCGGAUUGUAAACUAUUGUCGUUAGGGAAGAUACAAGACAGUACCUAAGGAGGAAGCUCCGGCUAACUACGUGCCAGCAGCCGCGGUAAUACGUAGGGAGCAAGCGUUAUCCGGAUUUAUUGGGUGUAAAGGGUGCGUAGACGGGAAAGCAAGUUAGUUGUGAAAUCCCUCGGCUUAACUGAGGAACUGCAACUAAAACUACUUUUCUUGAGUGUUGGAGAGGAAAGUGGAAUUCCUAGUGUAGCGGUGAAAUGCGUAGAUAUUAGGAGGAACACCGGUGGCGAAGGCGACUUUCUGGACAAUAACUGACGUUGAGGCACGAAAGUGUGGGGAGCAAACAGGAUUAGAUACCCUGGUAGUCCACACCGUAAACGAUGGAUACUAGGUGUAGGGAACAUUAAGUU
This 820-nucleotide ribosomal RNA is filed under the name uncultured bacterium. Its description in RNAcentral is "bacterial SSU rRNA". It matches the Rfam family "Bacterial small subunit ribosomal RNA", at positions 55 to 838 of the family's 1533-position model. The record is from RNAcentral.